GGCUGGUCUGAGUGCAGUGGUGUUUACAAUGAAUUGAUCACAGCCAGCUACAGAUUUCUUUGCUCCUUCUCCACUCCCACUGUUUCACUUGAUUAGCCUAAG
Mustela putorius furo (domestic ferret) is the source of this 102-nucleotide unclassified non-coding RNA. It matches the Rfam family "Y RNA". From Rfam's summary of the family: Y RNAs are components of the Ro ribonucleoprotein particle (Ro RNP), in association with Ro60 and La proteins. The record is from Ensembl. NCBI's taxonomy places the organism in Eukaryota, Metazoa, Chordata, Mammalia, Carnivora, Mustelidae.